This 253-nucleotide ribosomal RNA is filed under the name uncultured bacterium. RNAcentral describes it as "partial 16S ribosomal RNA". It matches the Rfam family "Bacterial small subunit ribosomal RNA", at positions 524 to 776 of the family's 1533-position model. The record is from RNAcentral.
UACGGAGGAUGCAAGCGUUAUCCGGAAUGAUUGGGCGUAAAGCGUCCGCAGGUUGCGAUGUAAGUCUGCUGUUAAAGAGUCUAGCUCAACUAGAUAAGAGCAGUGGAAACUACAUAGCUAGAGUACGUUCGGGGCAGAGGGAAUUCCUGGUGUAGCGGUGAAAUGCGUAGAGAUCAGGAAGAACACCAGUGGCGAAGGCGCUCUGCUAGGCCGUAACUGACACUGAGGGACGAAAGCUAGGGGAGCGAAUGGG